GAAUUCGCCCUUAGAGUUUGAUCCUGGCUCAGGACGAACGCUGGCGGCGCGCCUAACACAUGCAAGUCGAACGAGCGAGAGAGAGCUUGCUUUCUCGAGCGAGUGGCGAACGGGUGAGUAACGCGUGAGGAACCUGCCUCAAAGAGGGGGACAACAGUUGGAAACGACUGCUAAUACCGCAUAAGCCCACGGGUCGGCAUCGACCAGAGGGAAAAGGAGCAAUCCGCUUUGAGAUAGCCUCGCGUCCGAUUAGCUAGUUGGUGAGGUAACGGCCCACCAAGGCAACGAUCGGUAGCCGGACUGAGAGGUUGAACGGCCACAUUGGGACUGAGACACGGCCCAGACUCCUACGGGAGGCAGCAGUGGGGAAUAUUGCACAAUGGGGGAAACCCUGAUGCAGCGACGCCGCGUGGAGGAAGAAGGUCUUCGGAUUGUAAACUCCUGUUGUUGAGGAAGAUAAUGACGGUACUCAACAAGGAAGUGACGGCUAACUACGUGCCAGCAGCCGCGGUAAAACGUAGGUCACAAGCGUUGUCCGGAAUUACUGGGUGUAAAGGGAGCGCAGGCGGGAAGACAAGUUGGAAGUGAAAUCCAUGGGCUCAACCCAUGAACUGCUUUCAAAACUGUUUUUCUUGAGUAGUGCAGAGGUAGGCGGAGUUCCCGGUGUAGCGGUGGAAUGCGUAGAUAUCGGGAGGAACACCAGUGGCGAAGGCGGCCUACUGGGCACCAACUGACGCUGAGGCUCGAAAGUGUGGGUAGCAAACAGGAUUAGAUACCCUGGUAGUCCACACCGUAAACGAUG
RNAcentral lists this ribosomal RNA (802 nucleotides) under uncultured bacterium. RNAcentral describes it as "bacterial SSU rRNA". It matches the Rfam family "Bacterial small subunit ribosomal RNA", at positions 1 to 811 of the family's 1533-position model. The record is from RNAcentral.